RNAcentral lists this long non-coding RNA (578 nucleotides) under Dermacentor andersoni. Its description in RNAcentral is "uncharacterized LOC126539864". The record is from RNAcentral. Lineage: Eukaryota; Metazoa; Arthropoda; Arachnida; Ixodida; Ixodidae.
UAACGCCAUUAGUUUGCCGUGUGUUUCGAGCGAUCCACCAGUGUCGUCAGUGAGUGCCCUAGUACAGCGCCCGUCCGAGCUGCCUUUGUUCUGCCGAGCUGCCUGCCCGCGCUGUGGUACUGGGGCUUCGAAUUGUAGUGUUUGGAAGACUGUUGAAGGUUGUGCUUUUGUGGAGCUGGAGUUCAUCGGAAGUUCUACAGUGCUUGCGCCAGAGAAACGUCGGUGCCUCUGUACCUGUUAGACGAAGGAGCGUUUGCCAAGUCUUGAAAGGUAGACAUCGGUGACGGUGUAUACGUUGAAAAGGGCCUGCUGAAGAGGCUGUGCCUGGAUGCUUACAACUCAGGCUUUCACUUCGCGGAGGACCUCCUUAAAGCUCCUUUUUCAAUAGAAGACGUUGAAGGGAGGUCCUUGUUUGGGCGGCUGUCAAAUGCCUUCCACAGAAGGAUCCGUUGGAUUCCAAGAAGGUCAACACCAUAGUAGACUACACAACGCAACAUUUCAGCCUACUUCCAGGGCAGCUGGAGAACUCGUCCUCCUUACUAGCCCGGGGAUAUUAAAUGGAUGUGUUCAAGCACAAA